GACGAACGCUGGCGGCGUGCUUAACACAUGCAAGUCGAACGGAAAGGCCCUGCUUUUUUGGGGUGCUCAUGUGGCGAGCGGAUGGGUGACAAACGAGUAACCUACCCUUCCCUCUGGGGUGACUUAAAGAAACUAAGGCUUAUUCAGACCAGAAGCUACUGAUUCUUGGCGGGGAUGGGAGAGGUGCGGCGGUUGGGGAUGGUCUGGCGGCUCUUCAGCUGGGUGGUGGGGUAGUGGAGUUCGAAGGCGUGGACGGGUCGCCGGCCUGAGAGGGUGACCGGCCACAGUGGGACUCAGAUAGGGGCCAGACGGCUACGGGAGGCAGCAGUAGGGAACAGUGCACGAUGGGCGGAAGGCGGAUGCAGCGACGCCGCGUGGGGGAUGACGGCCUUCGGGUAGUAAAGCGCUUUUGCCUGUGACGAAGAGGGAUUGACGGUAACGGGUAAAGAAGCACCGGCUAACUACGUG
RNAcentral lists this ribosomal RNA (468 nucleotides) under uncultured bacterium. Its description in RNAcentral is "partial 16S ribosomal RNA". It matches the Rfam family "Bacterial small subunit ribosomal RNA", at positions 28 to 507 of the family's 1533-position model. The record is from RNAcentral.